Molecule: ribosomal RNA, 253 nt
Filed under: uncultured bacterium
Lineage: Bacteria
Description: partial 16S ribosomal RNA
Rfam family: Bacterial small subunit ribosomal RNA
Source: RNAcentral
GACGUAGGGCGCGAGCGUUGUCCGGAUUUAUUGGGCGUAAAGAGCUCGUAGGCGGCUUGUCGCGUCGUCCGUGAAAACUUGGGGCUCAACCCCAAGCUUGCGGUCGAUACGGGCGGGCUAGAGUUCGGUAGGGGAGACUGGAAUUCCUGGUGUAGCGGUGAAAUGCGCAGAUAUCAGGAGGAACACCAAUAGCGAAGGCAGCUCGCUGGGACGUUACUGACACUGAGGCGCGAAAGCGUGGGGAGCGAACAGG